GACACAUUCAGCCCGACUUGCCACGUUGUAAUUUAGCUGUCAGAGGAAAUGUCUGCACUCCUGCAGGACUGUCACAAUUCAGAAAAAUCAUGUAUGUCAUGUCAGUGCCAGUUAAGAGCGAAACCCGAUCGGCUGUUUUGAUGGGCCUGCCGAAGUUGAGUGACGCCAAUAUGCUGUCAGAUUUCUGCUAUAAAGCACUAAACUGCCAUCGUUUUGAUGGACCAUUUUAUGAAACACAACAGGAGAUGCAAGCAUAAUGUCCGACAAGCUGUUUUCCAUUCAGAUGUUGGUUUAUAAUGCUAAGCUGCAGAAAGCAUGGUAAAG
Molecule: long non-coding RNA, 324 nt
Organism: Sinocyclocheilus grahami
Lineage: Eukaryota; Metazoa; Chordata; Actinopteri; Cypriniformes; Cyprinidae
Exons: 2
Source: RefSeq, a predicted model, not a curated record